This 88-nucleotide transfer RNA is filed under the name Acidobacteriota bacterium. Its description in RNAcentral is "Acidobacteria bacterium tRNA-Ser". It matches the Rfam family "tRNA". From Rfam's summary of the family: Transfer RNA (tRNA) molecules are approximately 80 nucleotides in length. The record is from RNAcentral. RNAcentral also lists the same sequence under 1 other name. Lineage: Bacteria; Pseudomonadati; Acidobacteriota.
GGAGGGAUGGCCGAGUGGUCGAAGGCGGCGGUCUUGAAAACCGCUAGGGGGAAACUCCUCGUGGGUUCGAAUCCCACUCCCUCCGCCA